AGGCCAGCUCAGAAACCAGAGAGGCGUCUUUCUAAUCCCAAAGCAGAGGCAGUGAGGAAAAGCUGCCUGGAAAAAGGAGAAUUACCUUUUAAAGAAGGAGAAACUUCCAGGACUCACAGCAUCCAAGAGCCACCCAAAGUGCCGGGAGACCCUGGUGGGGAAGUGUUGGUCCAGCUCUCAGCAGAUGGGAGUCGUCUUCCCACUUUUUCCUUCCCUCCUCGAAAUUCCAACUGAUUUCAAAUGAAAUCAGCAUUUGCCAGGGGAUGCCACUCCCUGCAGCAAAGCUGACAGCAGGAAUUACCGUCCUUGGAUCCUGCUGGAGUUUCCCCCUGACCCUGAACUGCCCAUGUGCAGCGCAUUUCCAGACACGUGGCUGGGAAGUGCUGUGUGAAAAACCCAGGCAUUGUUAUUAUGAAACCUCCAGGAACAAAAUGAAUGGAUUAAUAAACUCCAGAGUCAUUAAACCAAACCUCAUGUGGAUGGAGGAGCCCAGAGCGGAGCAAACCUUGAGCAAACCCAGAUUUUCCCAAGGAAACACAAACUGGCUUUAA
RNAcentral lists this long non-coding RNA (551 nucleotides) under Cyanistes caeruleus (blue tit). RNAcentral describes it as "lncRNA (ENSCCEG00000017812.1)". Lineage: Eukaryota; Metazoa; Chordata; Aves; Passeriformes; Paridae. The record is from RNAcentral.